UUGUCGUGAAUUGAUUCUGCAAGUUUUUGUGAAGAAAGAAGGCAAACGGCGUCUCACGGACGUGGACACCAGGCGUCAGUUGUCAUCUUCCUCGCAUUCCAACAAAGAAACCGUCACAUGGAUAUUUACUUUUUAGAUACUUCUUGAUGGAUCACUUGCAGCUACCGUACCUUAUGACGAAAAAUACCUUAGAUACAUAACUUACAUACAGACUGCCUUCGACGAAAGGAAUAACGGAACAAUCUAUGAAAUGCACGAACUUCGAGAUGGAUACUCCUCGUUUAUGUCAACGGGCAGCGCAAUGUUGUAUCACACGUAUGAAUAUUUUGAAGCUGGUACCUAUUUUAGUGCUCGCUUAGAGAAGCCAGGUUUAAAGGACAUGCUACUAUACUUCGGCGAUAAAUUAUUAUAUAAAGGGCCCUAUACAUAUUGCAAUGUUGCUUUUUAUCGUGCUAUGUGCCAUCUGCACGAUCUUAAUGACCAACGCUUGCACGUAGCAGUGUCUGCUCAGCUUCCCGAGCACGCAACGGCUUUACUGGUCGUGGGGGAUCCGUACCACAUUUAUGACGUCAACGUGGUGAAUCUCAUUUCAUUUCAUUGUCUUAAAAUGCUGCCUCUGGAGAUAUCGACUGUGUC
Dermacentor andersoni is the source of this 636-nucleotide long non-coding RNA. RefSeq lists it as uncharacterized. Lineage: Eukaryota; Metazoa; Arthropoda; Arachnida; Ixodida; Ixodidae. The record is from RefSeq and is a predicted model, not a curated record.